GGCGUGUCCGGGGAAAAGGGGAGGGAUGAAUCGGAAAGGAAGGAUGUCGUGGGAGGCUGGAGGAGCUGGGAGGGAGCCGAGGCGGGGCGGGGGCGGAGCGGGGGGCGUGGCGGAACGGGCGCGCUGUCACGUGACGUGCGUGGCGACGUGUCGGCCAUCUUGUGUUGUUGAGGCUGAGACUGACUUGGGUUCUGAGAGACACCCUGUCCCGGACCGCAGAUUAUAG
Molecule: long non-coding RNA, 226 nt
Filed under: Sus scrofa (pig)
Lineage: Eukaryota; Metazoa; Chordata; Mammalia; Artiodactyla; Suidae
Description: lncRNA (ENSSSCG00070013912.1)
Source: RNAcentral